Molecule: ribosomal RNA, 483 nt
Filed under: uncultured bacterium
Lineage: Bacteria
Description: partial 16S ribosomal RNA
Rfam family: Bacterial small subunit ribosomal RNA
Source: RNAcentral
UUGAACGCUGGCGGCAGGCCUAACACCUGCAAGUCGAGCGGAUGAAGGGAGCUUGCUCCUGGAUUCAGCGGCGGACGGGUGAGUAAUGCCUAGGAAUCUGCCUGGUAGUGGGGGAUAACGUCCGGAAACGGGCGCUAAUACCGCAUACGUCCUGAGGGAGAAAGUGGGGGAUCUUCGGACCUCACGCUAUCAGAUGAGCCUAGGUCGGAUUAGCUAGUUGGUGGGGUAAAGGCCUACCAAGGCGACGAUCCGUAACUGGUCUGAGAGGAUGAUCAGUCACACUGGAACUGAGACACGAUCCAGACUCCUACGGGAGGCAGCAGUGGGGAAUAUUGGACAAUGGGCGAAAGCCUGAUCCAGCCAUGCCGCGUGUGUGAAGAAGGUCUUCGGAUUGUAAAGCACUUUAAGUUGGGAGGAAGGGCAGUAAGUUAAUACCUUGCUGUUUUGACGUUACCAACAGAAUAAGCACCGGCUAACUUCGUG